GCAGUAGCUCAACUGGUAGAGCGGCGGUCUCCAAAACCGCAGGUUGGGGGUUCGAAACCCUCCUGCC
RNAcentral lists this transfer RNA (67 nucleotides) under uncultured Polycyclovorans sp. It matches the Rfam family "tRNA". Rfam says of the family: Transfer RNA (tRNA) molecules are approximately 80 nucleotides in length. RNAcentral also lists the same sequence under 1 other name. Lineage: Bacteria; Pseudomonadati; Pseudomonadota; Gammaproteobacteria; Nevskiales; Nevskiaceae. The record is from RNAcentral.